Molecule: long non-coding RNA, 421 nt
Filed under: Panax ginseng (ginseng)
Lineage: Eukaryota; Viridiplantae; Streptophyta; Magnoliopsida; Apiales; Araliaceae
Description: long non-coding RNA (PGIN_LNC008926)
Source: RNAcentral
CAGGGCCGAUCCAAUGGGUUCUCGCUUGCAAAAUAAUGUUUUAAUGUGUGAGAGCUCAAUUUCACCCGGCCUAUAUUUUGGGGCAGCUUCCUUCUCCUCCUCUUCUUUUACAUGCUUUCUCUUUAGUGUCUAGAUUUGGAGAAUAUGCCCAACAUUCAUUUUUUUUUCUUUAAUAUUUUACGUGUAUACACUUGAAUGUCGUUGUAGUUGUAAAUAUUAUAUCUUUCUUCUCUUUGGAUAAUCACGAAAUUUUACGAAAAUAAAAUAAAAUAUUUUGUCUUAAUUUAAUAUUAUUUUUUAAUCUAUAAAUAUUUUUUAAAUAAUUAUUUUUUUGUAAUUUUUAAUAAAAGAUUAUUUUUAAGGAAUUAUAUAAUGUGAUGAAGAAUGUGAGAUUAAUAAUUUUUUUUGUUUUUUUUAUGGG